Molecule: long non-coding RNA, 680 nt
Filed under: Homo sapiens (human)
Lineage: Eukaryota; Metazoa; Chordata; Mammalia; Primates; Hominidae
Description: non-protein coding lnc-MFSD9-18:1
Source: RNAcentral
UCAUCCAAUUUUGUAAAUGAAGACUGUAGUGUCUGCCGGUUUCUUAGUAAUGCCAUCAUCAUUAUUACCUAUUGAAUAGUAUUGAAAAACUCAGUAAUUAUUUCACAAAGUUUCUGUGGUUUUUAAAUUUGGUGCACCCUAAGUUCCUACAAAUUCAUCUAUUUUUUCCUCAUGUAUAAUUGAGACUUUGGCUGGGUAUAGAAUUCAAAAAUUAAAAUUAUUGAAGCAUUACUCUAUCGUCUUCAUUGUAGAUCAUCAUAUGCUUAGUAUCAGUUUCAUUUUCAUUCUCUUCUUAGAUAAUAUUGCUGUAGUUGUUUCUAUUCAGGAGAAUUUUUACUCUAUUCUUGAGUGCAGAUAUGCCAGCAGCCAAUGAUUGUGUGUUCAUCUUUUUAUGCGUUUGUUCCUGUUGUCACUUUUAUUCUAAAAUUGGUGUCUUUCUUUUACUUAUGCCUAUUUCCUCAUAUCCAUUGAUUCAUUUUUCUCUUUUUAGAUUUCCUAAUAAAUGCACAAUAAAUAUUUCAGAUCUCAGCUACUUUGUGGCUUUUCUGCUAUAGCAACAUUUGCUAAGUUUUAUUUGGCAACCACAAUUUUAAUAAGCUUUUAAAUUUUGGAAUAAUUUUAGAUUUAAAGAAAAGUUGAAAGUAGUAAGGAAAGUUACUGUGUACUUCUCACCCAAUUUU